Molecule: long non-coding RNA, 1212 nt
Organism: Cannabis sativa
Lineage: Eukaryota; Viridiplantae; Streptophyta; Magnoliopsida; Rosales; Cannabaceae
Exons: 3
Source: RefSeq, a predicted model, not a curated record
AUUUAGCAACAGUUAUGUAGCAACACUACAAACAAAAGUGUUACUAAAUAUGCUAUUUUUUUAAUUAUAAAGACUUGUUUGAAAAAAGUGUUGCCAAAUCUCUAUUUAGUUAGAUUUUUCAUUUAUUUAUUUAUUUUAGUAGUUUAUUAAAAAUAUCAAGUACAACACUUCUAAAUAAGCGAUGCGAUUUCAAUUUACACCAUUAAAAUAGCAACAGUUUUUAUAAAAGUGUGUCUAAUGAUAUUUUUAAGUAAUUUUUUUUCUAGUAAUAAUUAAUAAUAAUAUAUUUUUUAAAAACUAAAUUAAGAACACGUACUCAAGUACAUAUUCUAAUAACUGCUCAUACUUCUUUCGUGCUAAAUUUCCCAUUCCUGCGCAUAAAGAACUUGGUUUCCUCUGGUUUUCUUUAUGCUGCUGGUAAGCUCUUUUGAAAGUUUUCAAAGCUUCAUCCUCACUCUCCCAUCAGAAUUGAAGGUGAUCUUCUUUAGAAAGGUUGAAAGGUCACUCCCAUUCAACCCUUCUCUGGUUUUUAAACUUUUUCUUAUUUUCUCGUAUGUCGUAUGCUUAGGGUGUUCUACUUUUUAGUUGAAAAUUGUAAGUUUAAUAUUUAUAAUGAUUACUUAUAAUUUUUACUAACCAUGGUUCAAAGAGACAGUGCUUCUAUAUUUUACGAGGACUAUUGAGGAAAGAAGAACAAAUUAAAUUUAAAGAAUGAGAGACAAUAGAGCAGAGUAAAUUUCAAACCAAUUAAACUAAGCAAGGGCACAAGAAAACAAGUUCAAGAGGAUAUGAUAUAAUCCACCUCCACAGAGUUCAGAAAAAUCAAAGAAAGACACAACAAAGCCCAUGCAGCAAGCUUUGCCAGUGAUUCGGAUGGACUAAUUGCAGUUUGAUGAAGAGAGUGGACAACACAUUAUUUCUAUGAAUUUUUUGUUUUUAUUUCAUUUAAUUGUCUUGCAAAUCAAAGUGAUAAAUUAGAAAUUCACAUUGUCGAUAUACACAAUUUGACAUAUUUACUGUCUUCAUUGUAAUAGUUUAUGUAGAGCUUUGUAAUACUUAAAUAAUUUUGUAUUAAUUUUAAAUUAUGUUCUAUAACUUUUACAUUUAAUGCGAAAAAAUUUAUGCAAAUUCUAUUUGAUGUACGUAUUUGAUUUUUUAUUUAUUGUUUUUUUUAUAUAUAUAUAUUGGGUGGCAAUACUAAUACUAAUGUAU